This 3475-nucleotide long non-coding RNA is filed under the name Populus tremula. RNAcentral describes it as "long non-coding RNA (PTRE_LNC001581)". Lineage: Eukaryota; Viridiplantae; Streptophyta; Magnoliopsida; Malpighiales; Salicaceae. The record is from RNAcentral.
AAUCAUACGCGAUAAAUCCAUUUAUCCAAGUGCAUCUGCUUUGCCUGUCUCUGGAGGUGAGUGCACGUUUCUAUAAACGCCACCAGUGAUAAUGUUGACCCAGAUUUACUACAUGACUGGUCUGUUAAAAGAAAGUCUCACGUCUGGCCUCCCGGUGGAGAAAAAAAUUAUAUCUAAUUUGCACUUGUUACGUGUUUCCCUUCAACUUUGGCCCUUGUAUUAGACAGAGAUCUGAAACAUCAAAAUUCUUCUUUCAUCAAAUUUUAAAAAAGGUUGCACAAAUGUUGCAAUUUAUCAAAGGAAAAAUUGCUAAUUCAAUCAGUUUUGUUUACAGGCAUGGAUGAAUUUGCAUAGCUUAUCUAACAAAAAUAGGAACCAUGAAACUCAAGGAAAAGUCUCGAGUUCAUGGAUUACCGAACGUUUCCUGGGACAGUUCCAGCAGAGAAGACAACUCCAGAUCCGCUGAGGACAGCCUCCUUCCAACACGCACAGAAAACCCUGGCAAACAACUAUGACCAUUCUAGAGAUCGACCGGACCUGAAACACGGUGAUCUUUUUUAGUGUCAGCUACAAAGGGAGAAAAAAGGGAGAAAAAAGCUGUCGAAAUCCAAAAAGCAGCAGGCAUGUUGGGAAUCGGAAAUGAUGUGCACGGGAUUGAUCACGGAUUUGUGCUUGUUCGAAUGAGAUCUCUGAAGUGAUGGAAUGCAAAGAAUCAAGUGAAAAACAAAAACUUCCAAAUUGUAAUUUUGGAAAAUGAGCAUAAAUUCAGAAAACAAAAUCAGCAUGCUAAGCAAUCCAAGUUCCAAGUGUUUCGCAAACAGAAGAAAUCCAUCUUUUGAACAAACACGUGCAAAAGGAGUAAUCUAGUAAUAUUCCUUCAUUAGAGCUUUCCACUACUUGCAUUUUCAAAGCAUUCCCGUAAGGCUUGACCCAAAAACCUGAAAGCAGCUUGCUUGUGAAGUCGAGUAUCUCUGUUAUAAGGCCCAGGCUCAAAUUUCCAGUUGCGAUAUUGAAACAAAAAUUAUAAUUAAAGGAAAGAACAUUCAACCAGAUAAAUCUUAAAAUUUAAGACUACCAUUAAUUAAGAAUCAUUUUUAUUGUAUUUUGAACUAACAAUACACUAAGCAGGAAGUAAAAUCCUCACGGUUCAAAAAUCAGCCUAGACAGAUAAAAGGGAAUUGUUCCAAACUCCCACUAACAUGGUCUAUUUUGCAGGCAUCAAGUCUAUUUUGCAGGCAUCAAGGCCUCUGUCUCCAAUCUUCUGGGCCAUCAGUUAUGAAGAAUAGAAAAUUAACAUGAAUAUGUGAUCCACGUUCAAACACUCAAACGUUUAAAAACUCAGGUUACUUGGCAUACUAGAUUCUAGAGCAUCAUCACCAACCAUUCAAUUUUCGCAUUAUAAGAAUUUUUCUUAUAGCUUCCUAAAUUCACAUUCAAAGUGUUAACAUGCGAGCACAAUGUUCUAAGAAAUUUCAGAUAUUAAAUAAGUCAUCCGCAAUUAUAUGUAUUUACAAUUUGAUAAUAUCUUGGAAAAUUCAAACCCAAGAAGAUAAGGGGCCGGGGAGCGGAGCCCCUUACCAACGACACCUUAAAAAUUAGAAUCUGAUGCUAAUGUAAACGCAUGUACUUUGAUUUAGUCAAGGUAAACGCAAUGAAAUAAGACAACAAAUAUCUUUGAUUAGUAUUAAUCCCUCCAUAGAAUCAUACGCGAUAAAUCCAUUUAUCCAAGUGCAUCUGCUUUGCCUGUCUCUGGAGGUGAGUGCACGUUUCUAUAAACGCCACCAGUGAUAAUGUUGACCCAGAUUUACUACAUGACUGGUCUGUUAAAAGAAAGUCUCACGUCUGGCCUCCCGGUGGAGAAAAAAAUUAUAUCUAAUUUGCACUUGUUACGUGUUUCCCUUCAACUUUGGCCCUUGUAUUAGACAGAGAUCUGAAACAUCAAAAUUCUUCUUUCAUCAAAUUUUAAAAAAGGUUGCACAAAUGUUGCAAUUUAUCAAAGGAAAAAUUGCUAAUUCAAUCAGUUUUGUUUACAGGCAUGGAUGAAUUUGCAUAGCUUAUCUAACAAAAAUAGGAACCAUGAAACUCAAGGAAAAGUCUCGAGUUCAUGGAUUACCGAACGUUUCCUGGGACAGUUCCAGCAGAGAAGACAACUCCAGAUCCGCUGAGGACAGCCUCCUUCCAACACGCACAGAAAACCCUGGCAAACAACUAUGACCAUUCUAGAGAUCGACCGGACCUGAAACACGGUGAUCUUUUUUAGUGUCAGCUACAAAGGGAGAAAAAAGGGAGAAAAAAGCUGUCGAAAUCCAAAAAGCAGCAGGCAUGUUGGGAAUCGGAAAUGAUGUGCACGGGAUUGAUCACGGAUUUGUGCUUGUUUCGAAUGAGAUCUCUGAAGUGAUGGAAUGCAAAGAAUCAAGUGAAAAACAAAAACUUCCAAAUUGUAAUUUUGGAAAAUGAGCAUAAAUUCAGAAAACAAAAUCAGCAUGCUAAGCAAUCCAAGUUCCAAGUGUUUCGCAAACAGAAGAAAUCCAUCUUUUGAACAAACACGUGCAAAAGGAGUAAUCUAGUAAUAUUCCUUCAUUAGAGCUUUCCACUACUUGCAUUUUCAAAGCAUUCCCGUAAGGCUUGACCCAAAAACCUGAAAGCAGCUUGCUUGUGAAGUCGAGUAUCUCUGUUAUAAGGCCCAGGCUCAAAUUUCCAGUUGCGAUAUUGAAACAAAAAUUAUAAUUAAAGGAAAGAACAUUCAACCAGAUAAAUCUUAAAAUUUAAGACUACCAUUAAUUAAGAAUCAUUUUUAUUGUAUUUUGAACUAACAAUACACUAAGCAGGAAGUAAAAUCCUCACGGUUCAAAAAUCAGCCUAGACAGAUAAAAGGGAAUUGGGGAGGGGGAUCUUUCUCCAAAAUACAGAACCAGUCAAUCCCUAAAUGAGACCAACAAAAUCAAACCCUAAAUGAAACCAGAAUCAAGAGAAAGAAUGGCACCUUUGACAUGCUUUGAUGAUAUCUAAGCAAUAAACAAACACACAAUCUUUUCUGUCUCCCUCCAUUCCUUUUUAGGAUUAAAUCAUCAACCCUUAUAAAUCCACAGUGUAGAUGAGUCUGUAUCCGCAGUGCGUGCUACAGUAAAAACGUUUUUUUUUUUCGUAAUGUAAUUGUAAUUUUAUAGUGCCGAGGAUAGUAGCACGACUGUGUGUUCACGGUUCUGCUGCUAGUAAUGGUGCGGAGAUAUCUGGUGUUUGGAUUUUGGGAAGAGAUCGGAUGGUUUGUGGGCUGUCCGUCGGUUUGAAAGGAGGAAGAAGGGGGCAGGGCAUCUAUGGGUUAUCAGCUGGAGUUUGGCGUUGGCUUGAUGGCGUGGAGGAAGAGUGUGGCACAGCUGGUGGGUCUGGCGCAACUGGUUCUCUUCUGGUGGAGGGAGAAGUGGGAAGGGGUAGAUAUGUAAUUUUUAUUUUUGAGGUUGUCUUAUCGGUUAGGUGA